This is a small nucleolar RNA of Fukomys damarensis (Damara mole-rat), 73 nucleotides long. The record is from Ensembl. NCBI's taxonomy places the organism in Eukaryota, Metazoa, Chordata, Mammalia, Rodentia, Bathyergidae.
UGUAUCGGUGAUGACUACUGGUGGCUUAUGAAUUAUAAAUGAUGAAUAUUCUUUCCGAAUGUCUGAGGUAUUU